AAUCAGAUCCAACAAGUGGCACAGCCCUUUUCACCUGAGACAGAAGCAAGAUAGAGAUGAUCACAAACUGAGAAGGACCCGGGACGAUUCUCCGCCCUGCCGGGUCGGGGCAGAAGAAACAGGUACCGCAGAUCACGAUCGCCAGGGACGAGCAGCCCCGGCCAUCGGGUUACGACAUACAGCCAGAUCACCUCCCUUACUUCAUGUUACAUAUCUUGAUAUAGGAUCAUGAAGGCAGUGCCACCUGCCUAGUGGACCAAAUUUCUUUUAUUUCCAUUCAUGUGACAAUGACAUCUAGCGCACAGCUUAGGUUGUCUGAAAAAAAGUUAUUCGGCCGACAUCACCUCUGACCCAAAAGAGCAACUGAUGCUCAUGAGCAGAGAUAUCAGGAUCUGUGGCUGCACCUGGGAACUUCGAAAUUGAAUGAGACCCAAGCACAUCACAAUUGCCAAGCAAAAAAAACAGCAACCAACCAACCAGUAAAAUAAAUGUGAUGUAAAAGACA
Molecule: long non-coding RNA, 505 nt
Organism: Suricata suricatta (meerkat)
Lineage: Eukaryota; Metazoa; Chordata; Mammalia; Carnivora; Herpestidae
Exons: 2
Source: RefSeq, a predicted model, not a curated record